GUUAUCGUUUAUUUGAUAGUACCUUACUACUUGGAUAACCGUGGUAAUUCUAGAGCUAAUACAUGCUGAAAACCCCGACUUCGGAAGGGGUGUAUUUAUUAGAUAAAAAACCAAUGCCCUUCGGGGCUCCUUGGUGAUUCAUAAUAACUUCUCAGAUCGCAUGGCCUUGCGCCGGCGACGGUUCAUUCAAAUUUCUGCCCUAUCAACUUUCGAUGGUAAGGUAUUGGCUUACCAUGGUUUCAACGGGUAACGGGGAAUUAGGGUUCGAUUCCGGAGAGGGAGCCUGAGAAACGGCUACCACAUCCAAGGAAGGCAGCAGGCGCGCAAAUUACCCAAUCCCGACACGGGGAGGUAGUGACAAUAAAUACUGAUACAGGGCUCUUUUGGGUCUUGUAAUUGGAAUGAGUACAAUUUAAACCUCUUAACGAGGAACAAUUGGAGGGCAAGUCUGGUGCCAGCAGCCGCGGUAAUUCCAGCUCCAAUAGCGUAUAUUAAAGUUGUUGCAGUUAAAAAGCUCGUAGUUGAACCUUUGGCCUGGCUGGCAGGUCCGCCUCACCGCGUGCACUUGUCCGGCCGGGCCUUCUCUUCUGGAGAACCGCAUGCCCUUCACUGGGUGUGUUGGGGACCAGGACUUUUACUUUGAAAAAAUUAGAGUGUUCAAAGCAGGCCUUUGCUCGAAUACGUUAGCAUGGAAUAAUAGAAUAGGACGUGCGGUCCUAUUUUGUUGGUUUCUAGGACCGCCGUAAUGAUUAAUAGGGACAGUCGGGGGCAUCAGUAUUCAAUUGUCAGAGGUGAAAUUCUUGGAUUUAUUGAAGACUAACUACUGCGAAAGCAUUUGCCAAGGAUGUUUUCAUUAAUCAGUGAACGAAAGUUAGGGGAUCGAAGACGAUCAGAUACCGUCGUAGUCUUAACCAUAAACUAUGCCGACUAGGGAUCGGGCGGUGUUAUUAUUUUGACUCGCUCGGCACCUUACGAGAAAUCAAAGUGUUUGGGUCUGGG
This 999-nucleotide ribosomal RNA is filed under the name Halobyssothecium kunmingense. RNAcentral describes it as "SSU rRNA". It matches the Rfam family "Eukaryotic small subunit ribosomal RNA", at positions 109 to 1118 of the family's 1831-position model. The record is from RNAcentral. Lineage: Eukaryota; Fungi; Ascomycota; Dothideomycetes; Pleosporales; Lentitheciaceae.